GAUGAACGCUGGCGGCGUGCCUAAUACAUGCAAGUCGAGCGAAUGGAUUAAGAGCUUGCUCUUAUGAAGUUAGCGGCGGACGGGUGAGUAACACGUGGGUAACCUGCCCAUAAGACUGGGAUAACUCCGGGAAACCGGGGCUAAUACCGGAUAACAUUUUGAACCGCAUGGUUCGAAAUUGAAAGGCGGCUUCGGCUGUCACUUAUGGAUGGACCCGCGUCGCACUAGCUAGUUGGUGAGGUAACGGCUCACCAAGGCAACGAUGCGUAGCCGACCUGAGAGGGUGAUCGGCCACACUGGGACUGAGACGCGGCCCAGACUCCGACGGGAGGCAGCAGUAGGGAAUCUUACGCAAUGGACGAAAGUCUGACGGAGCAACGCCGCGUGAGUGAUGAAGGCUUUCGGGUCGUAAAACUCUGUUGUUAGGGAAGAACAAGUGCUAGUUGAAUAAGCUGGCACCUUGACGGUACCUAACCAGAAAGCCACGGCUAACUACGUGCCAGCAGCCGCCGUAA
Molecule: ribosomal RNA, 515 nt
Filed under: uncultured bacterium
Lineage: Bacteria
Description: partial 16S ribosomal RNA
Rfam family: Bacterial small subunit ribosomal RNA
Source: RNAcentral